AACGAACGCUGGCGGCAGGCCUAACACAUGCAAGUCGAGCGAGGACUUCGGUCCUAGCGGCGGACGGGUGAGUAACGCGUGGGAACGUGCCCUUUGCUUCGGAAUAGCCCUGGGAAACUGGGAGUAAUACCGGAUGAGCCCUUUGGGGGAAAGAUUUAUCGGCGAAGGAUCGGCCCGCGUUGGAUUAGGUAGUUGGUGGGGUAAUGGCCUACCAAGCCGACGAUCCAUAGCUGGUUUGAGAGGAUGAUCAGCCACACUGGGACUGAGACACGGCCCAGACUCCUACGGGAGGCAGCAGUGGGGAAUCUUAGACAAUGGGGGAAACCCUGAUCUAGCCAGGCCGCGUGAGCGAUGAAGGCCUUAGGGUUGUAAAGCUCUUUCAGCUGGGAAGAUAAUGACGGUACCAGCAGAAGAAGCCCCGGCUAUCUCCGUG
RNAcentral lists this ribosomal RNA (433 nucleotides) under uncultured bacterium. Its description in RNAcentral is "partial 16S ribosomal RNA". It matches the Rfam family "Bacterial small subunit ribosomal RNA", at positions 29 to 507 of the family's 1533-position model. The record is from RNAcentral.